GGGGGCCCCUUCUCUUUUGGAGAGGGCCUGCGAUAGACCGCGACCUAGUGCACGAUUUUUGUGUGGCACGCUGCACGAUUUUGUUGCACGAGGUGAGAGCACGACUUUGGGCUUUCAAAAAAAAAAAUUAUAAUUACAAAAUAAAUAAAU
Bufo bufo (common toad) is the source of this 150-nucleotide long non-coding RNA. RefSeq lists it as uncharacterized. The record is from RefSeq and is a predicted model, not a curated record. NCBI's taxonomy places the organism in Eukaryota, Metazoa, Chordata, Amphibia, Anura, Bufonidae. The transcript is spliced from 3 exons.